CCUACGGGCGGCAGCAGUCGAGAAUCAUUCACAAUGGGGGAAACCCUGAUGGUGCGACGCCGCGUGGGGGAAUGAAGGUCUUCGGAUUGUAAACCCCUGUCAUGUGGGAGCAAAUUAAAAAGAUAGUACCACAAGAGGAAGAGACGGAUAACUCUGUGCCAGCGGCCGCGGUAAUACAGAGGUCUCAAGCGUUGUUCGGAAUCACUGGGCGUAAAGCGUGCGUAGGUGGGUUCGUAAGUCGUGUGUGAAAGGCGCGGGCUCAACCCGUGGACGGAACAUGAUACUGCGAGACUAGAGUGAUGGAGAGGGAACCGGAAUGCUCGGGGUAGCAGUGAAAUGCGUAGAUAUCGGGAGGAACACUCGUGGCGAAGGCGGGUUCCUGGACAUUAACUGACGCUGAGGCACGAAGGCCAGGGGAGCGAAAGGGAUUAGAUACCCUGGUAGUC
This 446-nucleotide ribosomal RNA is filed under the name uncultured bacterium. RNAcentral's name for it is "partial 16S ribosomal RNA". It matches the Rfam family "Bacterial small subunit ribosomal RNA", at positions 338 to 795 of the family's 1533-position model. The record is from RNAcentral.